Cavia porcellus (domestic guinea pig) is the source of this 18767-nucleotide long non-coding RNA. RefSeq lists it as uncharacterized. The transcript is spliced from 2 exons. Lineage: Eukaryota; Metazoa; Chordata; Mammalia; Rodentia; Caviidae. The record is from RefSeq and is a predicted model, not a curated record.
GGAAAAACUUGAUUUGCGUGUUGUGCCUGCAACUUUUUUUUCCCCUUUCUUCUUCUCCACACCGCCCUCUGUACACCUGACCGUGCACAAGCCUAUCUGGUGCCGGCUCCAUGGCAGGGAGAACUGGAGAGCGGAAGAAUGUGCCCAGGGAGGGAGCGCUCGGUACUUUUCCAUUCACAUCUCCACAGUGGCUUUUCUUGUUUAUUUCAACCUCCACCCGCAGAAACCUUUCAGCUGCCUGAAAUUCGAGUCAUUAAACAGCUCCCUGAGGUCACUCUACAGAGGCCCAGUGCAUGUUUCCUACAUGUCAGGGUCCAUGUAACUUGUGUGCAUAUAGGGACACAAUCCUAGUUGUAAGGGAGCGCGGUGUGAGGGAGGAGAAGAGGGAGGAAAAAAAAAAAAAAACUGCACUCCUUGCCAGAAAACCCUUGGUUUCUAAUUACAGCUCUGCCUGGAACUUUUUAUGGGACGCAGAGCAAAGUUGCUUGGGAGGACUCAGUUUCCUCCGCUGUGUGAAGCAUGACCUAGAUGAGUGUGUUUCUGCUCUGAGCUCUCCAGCUGGACAUCCAGACACAUAUUUACAUAAUUUAGGGUGGGGAGGAGGAGCUCUGUGUAUCUGUGUCCAGGGGGUGGGGCAAGGGGUUAAAAUACAAACUUCUAAGAAAGCAGUCCUAGAAUCCAAACCUCUAUCAAUUUUUAACCAAUUAGAGACCAAAGUCUGGGAUUAUGCUGAGUCCAAAACCGAUUAAAGAUUUUAAACGUUAAGAGUUAAAGGAGGCAGGUUUUUAAGACCUUGUACCUUUGAUCACUACCAUUCAUAAUCAGAAGUGACACAUCCCAGGUGCUUUUUCUGCCUGAUAGUUCUUUUUCUUCUCUCUCUGUCUCUUUUUGUUUUUGGAAACUGUCCCAGUCAGGGAUAGAAAGGAGAUGAUAUUUGUUAAGUGGGUAGUCUUUAAAUUACUAGCUCCAUGUGGACAUGGAAAAUACUUCCUAACAUUCUGAACAAGAGAUGGAAAAGGGAAGAGAAGCAGAGAGAUUCUGGGUAAGAAAUAUAGCACUGGCGCAAGCAUCACCGCACACAAAACAAUUAUUUAAAGUCAGAGGAAAAAACAGAUGGUAGUUUGCCCUAAAAAUAUAAAGAAGAGAAAGAAAAGAGAAGCACUUUUGAUUUACCAGGCCAAACUUGAAAGCAAUAAAAUAAUACUUUCUAUCAAUAUUUUCUAUAUGUUUUCAGUUUCUAUUCUUUAAAAAGAAAGAUCCUGAUUUUUUCAGAUCUGAUUGUUGAUGAGGUUAAGAGAUUCCAUCAGCCUCAGGAAAUAACAAGUAACUCCUGUUUAUUAGCAGUGAUCUCCCUCCACUUAGACUGCCUGGGAUAUUGUACCUAUGUGUAAGCAGGGGUAAACUUGCCACAAUGCCACAGUGGAAAGCCACCAGCAGGGUAGAUCUGGGAGGGUCCUUAGCCUUAUGUAAUCCAAUAUUACUGAUCUUAUAGCUUUGGAAAUUGAGGCUCAGACAGAAUGCAUUUGCUACACAGGCUGUCACAGAGCCGAAUUUGAUGUUGGUAUUCUAAAUCCACUAUGCUUUUUACGUGGUAUAUUAUGGAAAGAGAGUUAUCAUGGGCAGUCUCACAAAAGAGUCAUUUUCUGGGACAUCACAUUGGAAAAGGCCGCACAUUUAUACUUUUGACUAUCUCCACUGGGUCUGCACAUCAUGUUGAGUGGUAUAGGAACAAGACUGAAAGAAGACCAUCACAUAUAAGAGCUACUUAUGGGUCCCAGUGCAGGACUAUAGUGUCUUAUGGUACUGUGAUUUAUUACUGUUCAUAAGUCUACAUUGGUCUGGUGAAUAGUACAAUUGUAUUGUUCUUAUGAGUAUGCUAGUGUUAAAAGUGUAAGGUUUGAAAUGCACUUGGUUUAGAAGCAAUGACAAGCAGUUGGCAUGCCUAAUUAAUGUUCAGAUCUGGGUGUCUGAUGCCAUUCCCUGGUAACAGGAAACAAGGGUUCCUGGGGGAAAUGGGGCUCAGUAGACUGGGGCAGAAAGUAUACAAAAAUGCGACAGAAAUGUCAUAUAGUACCAUACAGAAGGGAAUUAUUUAAAUCAAAAUGAUAUCAUAGGAGAUAUUUCAAGGCAAUAGGAGAGCCCCUUGAAGCGCUCCUAGUUGUCAAGGUUGAAAUAACUGAACAACAAAAUAGAAUAUAUUUUGGAUUAUAACCCAAAUUACAAAAUAACUACUCACAAGUCCACAGUGAUAUAAAUACAGCAUGGAAUGAAUUAAUAAAUAGGCAAGAAGAGUCCAAUAUCCCAUACAAAAGAAUGCCAAGUAGUUUAUAUAGAUAUGCUGUCCUCUAAGAAGGGAAGCAUAAAUUGCUAGUCUCUUCUACAGACUGGGUAUGGUAACAUCUUUCCAAGUAGUUCAUUAUAGAAAAGGAAUGAGGGCAGAGUAACUUACCAAAGCAAAAUCUCACAACCCCCAUCUCAGCCAGCCAAUCAAAGUGAAUAGGGACAAAUCAUGUGGAUGGUAUAUCCUAUUGACAGUCUUCUUCUAAGAAUACUUAACCUAAGCAUGAGAGAAACAUCAGACAAAUAGUCGUAAAGAGGCAUCCUACAAAUACUUGACUAACAGUUCUGAAAACCAUCAAGGACAUCAAGACAAGGAAAAUCUGAAGAUCUACCAUAGCCAACAGUAGCCAAAGGAGACACAACAGUGUAAUGUAGUGUCCUGGAUGGGGUCACAGAAUGCAAAGAGACAUAAGAUAAGCCUUGACACAACUGAAUCAGUGAUGGACUUCAGUUAACCAUGUGUCAGAAUGAUUUCACUGUUUAAAAUGCACUAAUUUAAGGUAUUAAUGAAGCGGAAACUGGCUGUGGUGUUCGCUCUACCAUUUUAUCAGUUUUCUGUUGAGCUAAAACUGUUUUUAAAGUGAAGUCUUCAAGUUGGAAAAAUAUACCCAUGUGAUGUUUGGGAUUAUUUUUUUCAAUAGCAGAAACUUCCUAAAACCUCUGAAAAUCCUGCUUCCCACUCAAUCAUUUUCCUUGCAUAGAGUCAGGGAAUCAGGGGGCCUCGCUCUUUCUUUUAGUUUACUAAAUUGAAAGCAAUUGCAUCUCUGAAUGCCACCAUCUGUAUAAUGAACCAUCAGGAAAUCACUGGGGAGCUGCCAAAGGCCAGUGAAGUGUCAUUAUGGGAGUAGGUGACUCAAGCCACUUCAUCAAUCCCUGCAAUCAACAUUUCUCUGUGGAAACUUCUGGAGGAAUCAAGACCCGCAAAGAUCUUGCCAUCAGUCCACAUGCCACAUGGGAAUUCACUGCUGAGGUUACAGGAGACCCAAGUGCCCCCUCUAGAUUACUUGCUAGUUCAUUGCCUGACUCCAGUAGAGCUGGGGUCUCAUCAGAAUUGUAACUCAAGAUGUCUAGAGAAGAAGCAUGGAUCAGACCCCAUCGCUCUAUAAGUUUGUCUUCCUUAUUUACAUAAAACCUCAAAGUCUAAAUCUUGAAAGCCUCGAUUCUCAUCUUUCAACUCACUGGUUCUACCAUUGAGAAUGGUCCAGAGAGAGAAGUGACUGAUAAAGACAACUUGACAGAUUCAUGAUGGGCUUGUUUCCCAUCAAGUCCAUCUUGAAUCCCUUAUUUUUCUGCAGUGUCUAUUUUUAGUACAACAGAGAACUGCUGCUACAUUGACAUACAUUAUAGUUUCAAAAAUACUUUACCAGUUUCUAACAUGUGUCAGUUACCAAUGGCUUUUAGCUCUAAUGCUGAACCUGAGUUUUAAGUACCUUUUGCCCUGUUCUCUUCACCUUGCCCACCCCUACCAGCCUCUCUGCCAAGUUUAUAAGAACUUUGAACCAUCACUUGUAUUGGUGAAAGGGAGCGAGAGGGAGUCCUGCUAGUAUGUCAAUUCACAUGACUUUUUCAGAGCUCUACUUGGCCGCCUUGUAUCAAGGAUCAUAAAUGUAGCCCUGCUCUUUGGCCCAGUAAUUCCACUUAUGGGAAUGUAUCUUCAAAGCAUGAUUCCACAUUGCAGGGGAAAAGGUAUGCAUCCUAGCAUUCUAUUUAAUAAAAUAUUUGAACGUGCAUGUCUCAUUAUGACUAGAUUGGGAGAAGAGGUAUCAGUAGAUAAAUGAUUAAACAAAUUACAAUAAAAUUAAUUCUGAAAAAAUAUAAUAAAAAUAUGUAUGACCUAUAAAGUAAAGAGAAAUAGGGUGUAUAUAUAUAUAUAUAUACAUACAUACAUACAUACACCAUAUAUGUGUGUAUAGUAUAUUCACAACUAUGUUUUAAAAUGCUCUUCCUAGAAAAUAGGCUAGAUAUAAUAAGAAUGAAUAAUGAACAAAAAUAUUUACAGUGACUAUCUUAGGGUAGUAAGAUUGGAGACACUUAUCUCCUUUAUUUUUAUAUCUGCCAAAAUGUUUAAUAACUAUCUAUCAUCUAUCUCUCACACACUUAAAACAUGAAAACCCCUAACUGAUGUCUUUUAAAUGUAGAUAAUUAUUCACAGUUAUGAAUAUUUGACUUAAAAUUGGAGCCACCCACAACUGUAGGGUCCACAGCAAAAAUGAGAGCCGCCCACAUAUUCACGAAGAGACUCUUGCUCUGGAUGACACGCAUCUCUACAACAAGAAAAGAGACAACAAAAUGUGACCCUUUCUGUGUGCACUGACAAUAACAAAAUGAAGUAGAUUCUGUAACCCUUUGAUCUGUCUCUCCCCCCCCCCUACGUAGUAGUGUGAUUAUCUUGAUUUUUUUCAUGCUCCAUGGCAUUUAGAAAUGUCGAAGGGUUUCCUGGUUACUGUGCUCUCUAUGUGAGGCCACUCAUAUGCUCUCCUGGUAGACAGACCUUCCUUGGAGUAGUCUUGGGUCAACAAGUCAUUUAUUUAUUUUUUUAAUAUUAUAACAAUUUGUCAUGUGGAUGCUGAGGAAAAAAAUUAAAAACAAGAAUCUCAGGGAUUUAUCAUCAGAGAAUCACCAAGGUGUUAAAAAAUUUGAGAGAUACUGUUUUAUUUAGGCUGCUGGCUCUUAAACAAGGGCAUGAGUGUAGACAUCAGAAUUCAGAGGUGAAGAAAGAAAUGCAAGUAGUCCCUUAAACCACUGAUAGAAUUCCUCGUUCUCAUCUCCGUCUGUGCACAUGUGUACUUCCUUGUUCAAACACACAACUGAAUUUGUAGGGCAGACACUGUGCUAGAUGCUAGGGCAACAAAUAUGACUAAACAUGGGACCCUGAGCCCCAAUGGAUGCAACAUCUACUGAGGAAAUAAAGAUCCAAAAAGCUUAGGAAAUUUGCUUUAAGUUACACAAAAAUCAUGCAGGAGCCAGGAUUACCUGCCUGCCAAAUGUCCUGAUUCUGAGCCCAGUAAAACUCCACAGCUUCUUUGCAGAAGCUAUUCCCUGAGCCCAGAAGCAUUGAGUCCUUCCCAGAGCAGGUUCAACCUCUUUUAAGUGAUCCAGUAUUGAUUAGAAUGAAGUGUAACCCAGCCACCUCAAUGUAUCAUCCAGGAAAAACCAAUACCCAGUGUGGGAAGAUUCGCAAAGACUGAUGCAUAUACAAACUCAGCUUUCUACACCAUCACUGCUAUGUUAGCUCAGCAUUCAGGUGAGAGGUUCACAGCUAAGAAUGAACACAGGUUUGGGCUCCAAGCCUACAUUCUCAUAUAACUCUUGACAGCCAAUCCUCUUCUUAGGGAACCUGGGCCCAAUUUUUAAACCUUUUUGGAUCCAGUAUCUGAUAGGCAUUGCUAUAGCUAGGCAUUGCUAUAGACCUCCCCGUGUUGUACUGCUCCAAAAUAGAUAACCUCAAGGGACAUCCAGAGUGUUGGCUCCAAAACCCAAUACCAUCUCUAGCAGGAGCUGGGCACUGGUAGAUCUUGGUGCUUAUUCAACCAAGGCCACAUUCACACCAGACCUUUGGGUCAUCAACCCCUAGGUGGUAUCUUCAGGUUCCAGCCCUGCGUCCAGAUGAAUUUCUAUAACAUCCUAGACAACAAGAUCCAGCCUGCCUCAGGGGUGGACACAUCUGCCAGGAGUUGGUCAGACAAGGACACACUGAAUAUUCUGUUAGUCAGCUUUUCGUUCCUAUAAAAAUACCUGCAAUAACCAAUGUAUGUAUAAAGAAAGCUUUGUUCUGGCUCACAGUUGUAGAGAUUGCAGCCAUCCUUGAUUGGCUCUGUUGCUUUGGACCUACAGUGAGCCAGCACAUCCUGGCAGCAGACAUGUAGAAGCAAAAAAAAAAAAAAAAAAAAAAAUUAUAUCAUAGCUCAGAAGCCAAAAGAGACAGGAAGAAGAAGGGGCUGCAGUCCCCUAGCUUCUCUGAGGGCACACCCUCAAGGCCUCUAGUAACAUCUACCUCUUGGCGUUUCCACCACUUUCCAAUAGUGGCAAGCCAGAGCCUGAGCCACACACAGUUUGAGGGACACUGUAGAUUCAAACUGUCAGGUAUGAUGACACCUGCAUAAUGCUGCCAGACAAAAUUUAGCCAUACCAGAAUUACUUGAAAGUUCAGUAGCUUUUAGGGUCUAAAUAUGAAAUCAUUAAGACUAACCUUGCCUUUUUGGAGGCAGCGACACUAAAAAUGCUUAAAAGAAAAUUGGACAGAAAAGGAUUAAUAGUGAUGUUAAUAAAGGUCAUAAAAAGACUUGAUGACAUGGUUGUGAUAGAUAAAUGGAAUGUGGCGAGACCUCAGUGCCUACCAGAGUCAUCCCCUGCCCCAGUUCUCCACACCAGAUUCUGAAGCAUUCCCCAAGGCCUCGUGCACUUUCCUCUACUCCACACGCAUGCCUGAUUUCUGCCUGUCCCUGAUAAGCUAUAUGCUCAAGGGUAGAGGUGCAUCAUCUUUGUUUUCUUAAAACUGUGUCCAGCACAUGAUGUUCAUUUAGAAAAUGUUGACUGGGUGAAAGUCGGUAGCACAGCAACAAAAAAAUUUGAUGUGAAAUCUGAGGAUCUGGGUUCCAGUUAAAGUUCCACAACUGACUAAAUUCUGUGGGUCUCAGUUUCUUGUUCUCUAAAAUGGUAAUUUCUGUUAAGGGAGUACAUUAAAAGAUUCCCAUGAGAGUUUAGUGCAAUGGAGGGAAGGGUGCUUUGAAAAUUAGAAUGCACAGUAUAAAGUGGUUGUUGAAUGACUGAGUGCAUUGACAGAUAAGUGAACUAUCACGGUCCUGUAAAGUCAUUAAGUUAUUUAGUAACACAUUUGAAGACUCAGAUUAUAUCUGAGGGAAAAUGUCAUUUAAGAAGUACCUUGUCUUGACGUUGUUACCAUUCUUAAAUAUGAUUAUUUCAGUUCCCCAAGUAGGUUAACCCUUUAGGGACUGGAAGACAGAAAUGGCAGUUAAGGAUUCAUACUGAUCCAAAAAGAAUAAAAAAGAUCAUCAGAAAGUCGUUUUGUUCUUGAAAUGCAGAAUUGGAAAUGAACCAUUUUCCAGUAGUGGGAACUGAAAUCCAGUAUAAGAUCCUCCUUUUUGGUACCUUCUUCCUCUUUCUUCCUCCCCAUUUUACCUUAGCUCUUCCCCACCCCUCUCCUGCACCCAAACAGAAAAUUAAAUGAGUUAUUUUGAGCUAACUUCAGUCUUUUAAAAAAGUGCAAGAAAAAUCCAACUGUAAUAGGGUUAUUUCCUAGGAUCAAUGCAAUGACUUUACAAAAAAUUUUAAGCAAUUGAGAUGAUAGGUGAAUUAUCAAAAUAAGGAUUUAGGAUUACAGUACACCGAAAGCCUGAAUGACAGGAAGAGUGCUGGCCCAACUCUAUCCUAGUUGAAGAAUCCCUAAAUUUAUCCCACCUCCCUCUGCAACAAGCGCAGAGUGGGUCCCAGGAGCAUUGAGUUGGACGUGAAGAGAGAUCCUGAGAACAUACGCUUUUGGCGGGAGAAAAGCAAGAAGGGAAGGAGCUGGAAGGAGCAAGGUUUGCUCUCAUAACUGAGCGAGGCAACACGCAAGCACAUGAAGCAGUGGAUGUUUGUUAGAGUUAAAAAGAUAAAAGACUACCUGAAAGCACAUCUCCUGGUUUCCGUAGCCUAAAUCAAUAGGCACCUAAUGGAACAGGAAAUCCAGUGGACUCCACAGGUAUAGGUGCAAAGCAAGUUCCAAAGGGCCGGGAGUGGACUGUGGUGGCCUGAGACCUCCGGGAAUAGGUGGCCUACCCGCUCAUACUUGCCAAUUUUCCCAGCUCCAUGAUCGUUUAUUUUUGGGUUUCUACAGGUGGCAGGGACAAAAUAGCAAGCUUGGACUCACUCCAGAGAAGGUGAGCUAGGACAAAAGCAAGAACCCCAAGAAGUGACCACCGAGAGUGUGGGCAGCACCUUCCCUACAUGACUAAACAGAUUCCCUCUUUUUUGUUUUCCUUUUCCCUCAUCCUGCCUCCAAGACAUCUCACCCAAUAACGCCCGUGGAAACCACAAUCCUACACAAAACUGCAUGUAUCUGGAAGAAACAAAGCAAAGGAAAUAGCAUACCAAGACGCUUCUCUUUGUAACCCUGAGCACUGGAACAGUUCAGUGAGAGAAUCGAGGAAGGGUAUAAGAGUCAAGCAUUGAGAAAUGAAAUAUGUGGAGAACCAGGAUAGAAUCAAUAUUCACAUAUUUCCAUUAGGCUGUAGUUUUCCAGCACGAAGUAAACACCUGUUCAUAUCUUCAGGUCUUACAAACGUGCAACCACAAAAGUUAUAAACUUAACUACCAAUUAUUACUCCAGGGCUUACCUGGUGCUAGACUGCAUAAAUUUAAAAAAACAAUUCAGACCCGUUUCUAAAGGAGCUUAUAUUUCCAGGUAAACAGACAAACAUUGCGCAAGUACAUCCAUGGACUGGUAUUUUAUCACAAAUGAUAGUAACUGAAAUUCAGGUUAUAAAUAAGGCAGUAUGAAACUGGGAAAGGAUAUCAUUUCCCCAGAUGUACAGAGUAAACUUUUAGCUGAGAUUUAAAGGAAGAGAAGGGGUUAUUCAGGCCAAGAGUGUUGGGAAAUGUGUGCUAAGCAGAGAGAACACAGGUCAAACAGGAGUUUUAAAGUAAAUUCAACAAUGGAAUGUUCAAUGACCCGAAAGAAGCCAGCUUGGUAGUAGAUACAGUUGGGAGAAGAACAAGGAGCUAGAUCACGUAGUUCUUCUUAGGUCAAGGGCAGGAAUUUAUAGUUUAUUCUAAGCGCAUUGUGAAAUCACUUAAGAUUUUUAAGACAGGAUGGUGACAUGAUCUGAUUUAUGUUUUAAGGACACCAUCUUACCUAUUGUGUGCAAGAAAGGGGCAAGAGGUCCUUUACAGAUACUAUUGUAGAAGCUCUGGUGAGAGAUAAAGCAGUUUGGGUCAGGGAGGUAGUGGCAUAGGUAGGGGUAGGUAGUAGGUACGGAAAGAUUCGAGACAUGCUUUGAAGUUAGAAUCCACAAGCUUUAACAAUAGUGCAAGCCAGGCAUGGUGGUACAUGCCUAUAAUCCCAGCAUUUGCAGGAUGCUGAGGCAAGACGGUUGCAGCAAGUUUGAGCCCUGCCCAGGCAAUUUAGUGAGAUGCUGUCUCAAAAAACAGGAAAAAAAUCUAGGAAUGUAGCUCACUGUAAAUGUUCCAGGUUCAAUCCUCAGUAUAAGAAAAAAAAAAAAAAAACUAAAAGAAAAAAUACAUACAGUAAUCAUUUGAACAGCUGUAGGGGUAGGAAAGAGGAUUUAAAAAGUGAAUUCCAAGUUUCUAGAUUGGGAAGCUAGAUGAAUAUGCUUUCAUUCACUGAGUUAGAAACAUAGCAGAAGAAAAUCUUUCUUUUGGAGGAGGUAAUUUCUCAAACUCAGUUUGGAGCAUGGUAUAUCUGAGACAGAGACCUCUGAGAGGGGUGUCAAGGUGCCUCUUGGGUGGAUAUUUGAGACCCAAUUUCAAGAGAUGUCAGUUUGGAGACAUAAAUGUGAGAUUCAUCAACACAGAGGCAGUAUUUGAAGAACUGAAAAGCAGUGAAGAUAAAGUUGUCCUUAGAGAUAUUUAAGUUUAAAUUCAUUUCUCAGUUUACAAUGACAGUGGGCCCAAAGAAGUGAAAUUGGUUUUGGAAAUGGUGCUGAUCAGACAGCUGUUUCCAUUUCAUAAUGCAUUCUCAACAUUUACCAUCAAAAUGGUCCAGAAUGAGAAGCCCUUUGAAUGAAGCAUAAUUCUGUCGGUGUAGUUCAUGGUACCACACUAUGGCCUGUUUCAGAGUCUCUUUCUUUUCUUUCUUUCUUUCUUUCUUUCUUUCUUUCUUUCUUUCUUUCUUUCUUUCUUUCUUUCUUUUUCUCUGUCUCUCUCUGUUUCUCUGUCUCUCUCUCUCUCUCUCAUACAUAAACCCACAGUACUAGGGGUGAAACCUAGGACCUUGUUACUGAGUUAUAUAACCAGUCCUUUUUUUUCUUUCCAUUUUGAGACAAAAAUCUUGCUAAAUUACCCAGGCUGGGCUCGAAUUUAUGAUCCUCCUCCCUCAACCUUCCAGAGUGCUGGGAUUACAAGCCUGCACCAUCACACUCAUGUCAGGAAUAGUGAAAAAGUUGUAAUUUUAUUCACUAAAAAUACAGUUAUGAUAUAAAAGACAUUAUUAGUUUGCCUGCCUCCGAUAUGUGUAGCUUCAUGUGUAUACAUUUGCAUACAUUCCAUCCAAUUCAGCAGAUAUAUAAUGUGCACAGAGGUACAAGAGGAAGUCUGUGUCCCACAGCGAACCAAGGCUACUGCAGAUGGGAGGUACAAGCACACACACAAGCAAUGGCUAACGCUGUCGCUGAGCUACAGGCAGCAUAAUUUGGUUGACAUUAGAGCAUGAUUGCUUUAGACUAAGAGUUCUGAGGAAGUGUGAGAUUUGAAUAAAAUAAUUAUGUCAGAUAGUGAACAUACCCCUGAAAUAAUAGACAUCAAAACAAUAGACAUAGCUCUAAAACAACAAACACAAUUUAUCACUUCUUACUCUACUGUUCUAAGUACUUUAUAACUGUUAAUCUAGUUAGUUAUUACAACAAUCUCAUAACUUAGGUGUUAUGAAAUCUGAUAUUCAGGUACAGAUCCCUGUUUUACAGAUUCUAGAGCCCAAAAGGACUAACCAAAUCAACAGCCAAGAGCUGGAUUUGAAUCCUAGCCAUCUAAGCACUGUUCUUAGUACGCCCUACCACCUUAGGAGUGAAGGCCACGACUUUCACAAACAGGGCAGAGGCAGCAAGGGGAGGAAAGGUGUUUCACGAAAAGAGAGGAGCUGAGCAAAUGGCACAGAGAUUGGGCAUAUACUUACUCAUGCUUUGGCGUUUUAUUGAGACCAGUGAAUUAUUUAGCUGUGGAAAGUGGAUCAAAAACUGGGCAUUUAUCUUUGUUUGACUUUGUUUAACUUCCCACAAGGGUCUUUUCUUGCAUCAUAGUACUAACAGUGAAAUGCAGUUUUGCUCGCUCGUCUGAGCAAAGCCCAGUGCUACGCUCUUCACCGGCAUUAUAACUUCAUCCCCACAAUGGCCUUGGUAGGGAGGUGUUGCAUUUCAAAAGGAGAAACAGUUCAAGUCCUGCCUCCACUUGACCUCUAUUUUGGAGAGUACUAGUGAUUCCCCAGGAGGCAUGUCAGUAUUCGGCUUCAUGUUGCAUCCACUUCUUGGAGCCUAGGAGCCCCCAGGGAUGGAGUAUACCUAUGCAUUAACAUGCGUAGCUUCUUUGACAGUGGAAAAUACCAAUCGAUAUCUUUGCCAAAAUCUUCCACUCACUGUUGCAGUUGGCCAACCUUUGCUGUGUUGUGAAAGUCAACAGUUAAGUAUGAAAACGGGCCUCUCUUUCCAAAAAUUUAAUUGCAUUGUUAGGAAUUAGUUGAAACUGGGCUUUGUUCUAUGUGGGGAAAGCUAGGAAUAAGCUUGCCCGUAAUGCCUAAACCUGGCUUGCAGUUCAGAGCAAUUGCUAAAACAUUUGAUGCAAUCCUGAACAGCACUGGCAGCAAUGUGGUGUCCAGCUCAGUGAUUACCCAUUGUACCCAUAGUACUCAGGGCACAGUUCUAGGCCCUGCAAGGAGACUACAAAUCAGUGUCUACAGAAAGGGACUGCUCUAGCAUGGAUCCAGUGGCAAGUAUCAUCAAAUGUAAAGAAUGACAGUCAAGUGAGAGCGAGGUAAAAAUUCACAGCCCUAGGGGCAGCCAGGGCUGAAUUCCUAAGCAUCAGCUUUGUUUGUGCAAGUUAAAUCUGAGAAGAAAGAAGACUCUGAUCAGUCCUGUUGUCUUCCAGAUUGGAGGGAGAGUCAAGACCUCAUCCCAGAACAACAUUUAGGAAAGCAACAAAGAACAAAAGAUAAGAUAACUGAAGCUUUUAAUGCAAGAAGAAGGAGGAUGGAUGGAGGGACAAUUGGGAUGUUUACUCUCAUUUUCAAGGCCAAGAAUGUAAUGAAGACCCUCUUGAACUCUGUUUGGAAGAAGAUUCUCAAAAGAGUCUUCCUGGAAUGCCAGUUACUAAACCAUAGCUGUGUGCCUCUUGCCUUGGUUUGCUCAUCUGUAAGAGACAAUAUCAACUGCUACAUUGCAGAUAUUCUUCUGAGGAUUAAGGAUGAGGAGCUCAGUGGAUGGCUUUCAAGCAUCAGUGUGUAGAUUACAUUGUUUUAUACGCUGCCCGCUAGCCUCAUCUUUAGGUAAACUGACUCAUUUCAUGGAAACUUCAAGAUCAUCAGGCCAACACCUGAAAGUGACAGACGAGCAGGGAAGAGGCAGUGCAUCCUAUUUGUUACCUCAAUUGAUCUUCACAACAGGCUCCUGAGAACUGUAAGCCAGCGUGGUUAUUCUUCAGUCACAGAUGACCGAGCUGUGAGGUUAAGUGAUUGGUGCAAGGUUCCAUCCGGAUUCAGACAAGGGACUCCCACUUCUGCCCAUAUGCUUUUCAGUGUAUCAACAGCCAUGAGAUUUUCGUCACAUGUUAAGUGAGAGUCAGUGGUAUUGUGGAAGAAAAUAAAAUCUGGCAAAUAAACACCGAUGAAGAACAAGUCAGCCAGCCCAGUCCCACUCACCUCCACUGGACACCACUGGGCCUCUGUCUGUGUCCCUCUCUCCCUAGCCCCCUGUUGCAGCUCCUCUAUUUGCUCAGAGCUCCUCUGGGCCAAGGGGUUAGCUCAAAUCCAGGUUCCUCCAUAAGGCGUUUGACCAAACACUCCACCCAUUUUUUCAACCAAACAUUUGCUAACUGCCUGCUAGUGUGCUCCAUUUGCUCUUGUGGGGUUUUCUUCUAGGAAGAAGAAAUCAUAAAAAGAAACUCAACAGUAAAGAUAUAUGCUCUUCUUGAGGAUAAUAAAUGCUGAAGUAGAAAAAAAUCACAAAGAAAAGGGAUGUGACACUUCUGAGGGAAAAGAUACAACUUGAGAUUGGAUGCUGGGAAUGGCCUCAUUGAGCCGGUGACAUUUGAUUAAAGACUGAAUAAAGGUGGAGGAGGAAAUGAUCUGAACAUCUGGGGGUGAGAAUCUCAGGAAGAGGGAAUUGCAAGUAUCCAGGUCUUGAGCCAGAAUGUGCAUGAACUGCUUAAGGAAAGGAAAGGAGGUUGUUUAGAGCCCAGGGAAGGGCAGGGUAGUGGAUGACCAGGACAUAGAGGACUUCAUUAUGUACCUUUCAUAGUGUACUCGAAGGCCUUUCUAUUGUUGUGUAUGAGUUGGAAAGUGAUUAGAUUUGGACAGGACCUGAAUUUUAUUUGCACAGAUGUCUUGCCCUUCUUAACCGAGUAACAUAACUUUGAAUCCAGAACGUGGACUCUGGAACCAAAUUGCUUGUGUUUGAAUCUUGACUUUGCCACUUAUUAGCUAGUAACUUUGGCCCGAGAAACUUGCCUAAACCCCAGUUUCCUCAUCCGUAAAUGAGAACAAUGAUAUAUUUACCCUCAAGCAGUUAAGAUUAAGUAAUACUAUUGCACAUGUAAAAUACUCUGCAUGGUGUCUGACAUGUAGAGUAUAUAUUCAGUAAAUAUUAAAGGUAAUAAUAGGUGAAUGAAUUUUUUAAAAAUUUGGAAGCUAUUUUGGAACAUACUGUCCAGUGGUUCAGAAAUCUGACUGGUGAUACCUAGAUGAAGAGGCAAGUACCACCACUCUGACCUGACAUAUCUUAGGAGAUUCAGGAAUGCUUUUUGUACUAAUGGAAGCUUGAUCAGGAAACUAAAAUCACAAGUGGUACGGAAUUAGGGACUCAUUGUAUGAGUUAGAUCUUACACAACUGAUAUAAGGUAAAAGGCAUGUGGGGAAGUGCUAAAAAAUCCAUGGAAAUAGCAAUAAAGAGGUAUUAAUAAACUUGUGUAUAUAUUAAAUGCUGGAAAGAACCUCACAGAAAUGUUCAUAAUUAACAUCUCUGGCUGAUUAUAACAGAUUUUAUUCUGACCUUCAUUUAUUUCACUUUCUAAUUUUGUAUAUCAAACAGGUAUUUAAAUCAGAAAUGUAAGUAUAUGUGUUAACAUUUAUUGUUCAUGUAUUAUUUAUUGUACCUAACACUUGUUUCUUCUAAAAAAAUAAACACAAUGUAUUGGAAGCAAUAUAGUUAAUUACGGGGAAGGCACAAGGAAGAUGAAAUCAGAGAAUAUCAAGUCUUGAAGUAUCAAAGACUAUGCAGCCAGGUGCUCAUUUGAAAACGAUGCCUAUUAAGUCAGAGAUCACACAGAGCCUGGAGAGAAUCCAGAAUUUCUGAGCUGUGCAUCCCUUACCAUACCUUGAACUCUCUGAGGUUGCAGUCAAGGUUGAUUUUAGGAUACAGAUAAUAAUCAAGAAAGGAGAGGGGAGAAAUGGCCCUGAAUCUUAGCCUUAUUUGGUUGGAAGUGGAAAAUUUCUCUCAAAGGCAUGUACACUAAAUCAAUCUACUGUCUUCAAAACCCUGGGGUGCCUAUAGCAGUAUUCUGAUCACUAAUCAUCACUUUUCUCCUCAGCAUUCCAGCAAAAACUCAAGAGGUGAUCCAAGUGUAGACUGUAGCACUUAGACAGUGGCCUUGGUGCAUGCUGUAGCUCUUUUUUCUCCUACUGGUAGCAGAGAUGAGCUUGCUUGCAGUUACUUCUGGAUCUCAACAGAGAGCUCAUAAAACUCAGAAAACCCUCCUACCAGUCAAGCUGACACGUAAUUGGCCACUCAGCUAAAAUAAGUAACGAGCCAAGAAAGAUGUUUUAAAGUGUGAUUUUGAUGCACAGGAUUUUAUUACUGGCAUUAGUCCAGUAAUUGUGAGCCAGUGAAUUUUCAAAGCCGUCUUAAAAUAAUAAUCCUUUCCCUCAAUACUCAGAUACAGUAGAGAAAGAAGGGUAAGGUUUUUUAGUACCUUCAGGGACAUCUACAAUCUGAGGAUUUACUUUUAAUAGAUUAUUGCAUGGGAAGUAUAAACAAGGUUUGGGUAAAAACACAGGAAGUCAAAAAAUAAAGACUAUAUUUUGAUGCUUUUAUCCAUCAGCUUUAUGGCUUUAGGCGAAACAUUUCAUUUUUUACCUUUGGUUUCUCCCACAAGAAGAUUGGGAUAAUAUUCAUACUUGUACUUUGAAACCCUACUGUAUUAUUUGGAGGCCAGCAGGGUGACUAUGGAAACAUUUGAAUAUUAUUAGUUUAAUUAACUAUGUGUAUAGAACUAGUUCUCCAUGAAAUUAGUCUUCUCUACACAAUGAAAUUGGUUGCCAGGUAUACAAUGUUUAUAUUUCUGAACGAUUUGAAAAAGAAAGUAGGAGGAGGAAAAAUAAAUUAUUCUUUUCCUGGAAAGCUCUGUUAUUUAAUCCUCUUCUUGGAGUGAAAAAAAAAUUCUUAGCCACACUGUAGGGAAGAGAACACAGAUUUCUCUUUGAUGUCACCACUCAACGAGUGGUCAGUAUCACUUCCUCUUUUUCACCAACAGAUCCAAAGAUCUUAUGUUAGGGUUUCUUUAGUGAUGACCUCAAACAUUUAAGUCCCCUGCUUGAACAUGUGCCAUAGCCAAAACAACCAAAAGAAAAAGCAGAAGAGCAGGAAAGGGGGUGGAAAGAGAGAGAUAAUAUUGUAUUCUUUGGAAAGAUGACAGUUAAUGAGGCUCACUGUAGUUUAGAGCCAAAUAAUUUUCUUCAAAGAGAGAAAAAGGUCGUGACAACCCCCAGACAGAAGCAAGAAGAAGCAGAACCAUGAGUACUGGGCUCCAACUGGUGAUGUCACCACACAUUUGUGGUUCCCCAGAAUGGAGCUAGAGCAAGCUGGGCUUUCACACCCUGCCCUGCAUUAACAAGCAGAGACCUGGCCUUUCAGGCACAAUCCUUCUAGGGAUGGGCCUCUCUUCCCCAUCGUGGGUUCAGCCUGAAGCCAGGGUGAGUCCUGUAAAGAUGCUGAACCCUUCUUGAUCCGCACACAUUCGGCUGUCAUGCCUGCCAGUGUUGCUCCUAAUCCAGCCAACAAAUCAACACCUACCCAGGGGAAGGUGUGGGAAUCCAAGCAGGCAGAUGGCCUUUUAAAGAGCCAGAGAAGCAAGAGCUGGGGCAGGAAACCUCUUCAGCAGCUCUUUCACUGUGCCAUUCUUUACCUCCUGAGUCAUUCUCCACACCCUACAAGUUCAAACCGAGACUCAACAGCCUUACCAGAGAUGGAGAGAUGCUACAGUUGCUGCCUUUUGUACAGCAAUGGCAAUUUGCCAUGGCACCGUCCCUGUUGCAUUUCAGACAAUCUCAGGCACCUUCUUUCUAGUUGUUGAUUCUCAGCUGGAUCAAGGGAAGGCCAGUCUUGUACCAAACAAAGGCAGAGGUCAUUACCAGUGUUGAGCCUUGAGCAGUACAGGUGUAAUUAUACACAUUGGUUGAUUGAUGCAGGCUCUGUUGGGAAAUAUUGUAUUUUAAGGAAGUGUAACCUUUUAACUUUUGAGCUGGCCACGGAAGCAUGCCAAGAAAAGAACUGGAUUAAACUAUAGAACAAUCCAAUGAGCCAAGGGCACUGAGCUGGGCAUGAACCAAGCAGGAUACAGAGAACAGAAGAUUCAGGGAGAAGUGAGCAGGCAGGUAAUUGUCAGAUACCACAACAAAUGCCAAUAACAUGAUUCUUCCCUCUCCUAUUUGCCAAAUCCAAGUUUGGGCAUGUUAGUUGCCUCUAACUCUUCCCCCCUCCACAACACUGCCAUCUAUGUUUAAUAGAGUUGCAUUACCCAGAUUUCUGUGGCUCGGAAUCUUGAAAUCUUGGGGUCUUUAGUCUGAAAAGACUCAGCUAGCCCAUGUGCAGUGUUAGUUUCUCUCCAGUAGGCUCCAACACUUCAUUUUUAAAAAUCUAAAUAUAAAACCCAUUAUCUAUAUCCUUGGAAUUGACCAGACAAGACAGAGCCAUAAAACUGUUGAGUUUAGAGGAAACGAAGUGGUUACUUCAUAUUUGGAUCUCCAGAACUCCUCUUCUGAAGUGUUCAUUCAGCCUUUUCUUUGAUAUCUCCACAACAGAGGACUUUUGACCUCCCAAAGUGGCCUAGCUGAUGGUUGGUCAUAUUUAAAAGCAGGACAGUUUAAGUCUGGGCUUACAUACUGGCUUAAUUAUAGGAAAGGAUUCAUCACAGUGAGAAAUCACUUACCAAUGAUAUCUGGGGCUAUGCGAGGUUGUUGACUUGAGUGGAUGCAAAUAGAGGUCAUGACUAAAUGCUACACCCCAACUCCCAACCUGUAUGUAAGUCUCUGCUCAACAGCAAAUAAACAAAGCAGUCUGCUACAUACAGUGCUCCUCUAUUGCCAGGACUAGAGAAAUAUUUACAAAAGAAAUGUUAGGUAUGGCUGAUGAAGCCUUAUGUGAGAAACAAAAUUUGAUCAUAGGGAAAGAAGCUCUAUUUGAAAUAAUUUGAUACUAGCUUUUAAGGAUUCAUGUGAAAAUCAGGCCAAAUUCAUACAUUUUGGGACAGGAGAUGGACAAUUAAUAUCUCCCAGCAUCUGUCUGUAUUUUUAUUGGUUUUCUUCUGCCCUCUUAUCUUGAAUCUAUGUUCAAGUCAGAAUUUAUUUCCAUACACUAGAAAUUUCCCAAAAGAAGUUGUAAUAGAUUUUCCUUAUCUUAAUACUAGAAAACUGAAACUCAGAAAGGGUUGGUAGUUGAUUCAAAGUCGCAGAACCCAUUUGAGUUGAAGCCAGAACAGAAGCAUGUACCAGCUCCAACUCUACUAUAAUACGCUGAGCAGGUGUAAGGUAUGAAAGUCUUGCUAACGUCCUAUAGAUCAGGAGCUAUAGAAAGUUUUACGGCAUAGAAAACUGAGCCACUUUUUCUUGAGUCCCCAUUUGGUAACCUUAUGAAAUACGGGUUGCUAGUGUAUCUCUUAAAAUAUCAAUAAACAACAAAUAAAUAGAAAACACUGCACAUCUGCAUGUAAGUAUAUAAAAAUUGUCCCCAUUAGAAGAACUUCUAGUUAUUGAGCAUGCACUAUGUCCCAAGCAUUUUCCACCACGACGACCGCUCAUCUUUCUAAUGAUCUGUAUGUGAGCUCCAUGCAUUGAUUGCUUUCCAGGUGAAGGUCAGAAGACACAUGACCAGUGUGACAGAGCUAACACUGCAGCCUGGUUUUCCUGGCCCCAGAACCCACCCAGAACUGAGGACUUUUGACCUCUGUUUUCAGCGUGGCUGCCCAUCUUUCCUAGAUUCUCUCAGACCUGCUUUGUGCCCCACUCACCAACAAACCCAUACAUUGAAUAUGAUUGCUACUGUGCUGUGUGUAGAGUAAACUUGUGAUUGGUUCUUUUUCAAAUUACCCAACUUGCACAUCUUGUCAGCCAAUUUUGGUAGUAUCCUUCGUGUUUAUUGUUGUGUUCUUCAUAUUUUAUGCAUCUUAUGGAAAAUAAGACAAACUAAGAUACUAACCCAAGUUUACCUGGUGGUGAGAAGCAAUGUUUGAUGCAUGAACAUAAAUAAAUAAAUAGAAAUAGUAAUGUUCUGAAA